ACCACCGAACUCGAUCUGGGGGAGCCAGGGAUGAACGAUAUCGAUCAGAAUUCUCUCUUGUCAGAAUUUACUCUGAAGAUAUCCACACAGAAGCAGUUCAGGCUGCACUGGCAAAGCAUAAAGAACAGAAGAUGGCUUUGCCCAUGCCAACCAAAAGGCGAUCCACAUUUGUUCAGUCUCCUGCAGAUGCCUGCACACCUCCUGACACAUCUUCGGCCUCUGAGGAUGAGGGCUCUCUGAGACGCCAAGCUGCGCUCUCUGCUGCCUUGCAACAGAGCUUACAGAAUGCUGAGUCCUGGAUCAACCGUUCAAUUCAGGGAUCGUCCACUUCUUCAUCCGCAUCUUCUACGCUGUCCCACGGAGAGGUCAAAGGAACCAGUGGGUCUCUAGCUGAUGUAUUUGCCAAUACUCGAAUAGAGAAUUUCUCUGCUCCUCCUGAUGUCACUACAACUACCUCUUCCUCCUCCUCAUCUUCCUCAAUUCGCCCAGCAAACAUUGACCUGCCCCCCUCGGGGAUAGUUAAAGGCAUGCACAAAGGAUCCAACAGGUCCAGCCUUAUGGAUACAGCUGAUGGUGUUCCUGUCAGUAGCAGAGUAUCUACAAAAAUCCAGCAGCUUCUGAACACUCUGAAACGACCCAAAAGGCCUCCCUUAAAGGAAUUUUUUGUGGAUGACUCUGAAGAAAUUGUGGAAGUACCUCAGCCAGACCCCAACCAGCCCAAGCCGGAGGGACGGCAGAUGACCCCUGUGAAAGGAGAGCCUUUAGGAGUCAUCUGUAACUGGCCUCCUGCUCUUGAAUCUGCCCUGCAGCGCUGGGGUACCACUCAAGCAAAAUGCUCCUGUCUGACUGCACUGGACAUGACAGGGAAACCAGUUUACACUCUUACAUAUGGUGAGUCUGCAAGAUUCCAGAUCCUUCUCUCCUGAGAGUUCUUCAGAAUAUCAUGGGUAGUGUUUUUAUCUAGAUACUUAGCAGUUGCUGGCCAUUAUGUUUCAGUAGAUUUUUUCAAUAAUUUAAAAGGAUCCUAAGCUCUAAGUAAAGCUAUUGCCAAAUAUUUUCAUUUGCUAAAGCAACAUUUGCAAGCCAGCUAAUAUUUAAAAGACAGCAAAAAGAAGAGAGACUUUGUACAUCCAUAGAUGUUUUAACAUUACAAGAGGAUUUUAGAAAAACAUUUGGUAUUAAUGAUGUAUGGUGAAAAUCAGAUGGUUUUAUCUAACAGUUGAAACUGAUUACUUGUUAAAUCUUUAUUCCAUCCUGCUUCUUGAUUAUAAUAGGCACAAAAUUCUGUAAUGAACAAAGAAUGAGUACUUUUCCGUUUAAUUUUGCAUACUAGCUAAAAUUUUUCUUUUUAAAAUAACUUCAAGGAAAAAUGGGGUCAACCCUGGGCUAUGAGAUUUUGUACUAGUUUAUUCAAACAGAUUCCUUUUCUCCUUUGCAAGUGGAGCACAGUGUCCAUAGACCUAGAUGGAAAAUAAUCUUUGAGGAAAAACAAGGUUUUAUUUAAAGAAUUACGCAGGUUGACAUAGUUUAAACUUUGGAUGCCCCUCUGAAUAAAUUGUAUGUAAAAUAAUGUAGCUAUUUAAAAUAACAUGAUUUCCCUUUUCCUUAUCUCAUAAUCUAAAAUAAGAAUUUCUAAGAGUGGUUGAGGGGAGGGAGUAGGAAAAGAAAAGCAUUUUUUGUUUGUUUUUGCCAAAAUUGUUUUAACAUUCACCUCAGAAGCUGUAUAUACAUUUCAUUCAUAUAACCCUUAAAGAAAGCAUUUAGCUGGCCAAAUCUUUGCAUGUUUAUUUAACAUCUAUGAAUACAUCCACAUGUUCAUACAGAUAAUUUCCAUUUUAGUGUUUGUUUUCACUAAAUUACAGCGGUAUGGAAUGUUUAAUCAUUUGAGCCAUGUUUUUGCUUUGCAGUUUCCUCAAGUGUCUGAUACCACCUAUGUAAGUGGUUUUUCAGAAAAAGCUUACAACAUUUCUGAAGAUAUUUGUAAAUUUUUUAAAAAACUGGCCGGGUACAGUUGGCUCAUGCCUGUAAUCCCAACACUUUGGGAGGUUGAGACAGGUGGAUCACCUGAGGCCAGGAAUUUGAGACCAGCCUGGACAACAUGGCGAAACCUCAUCUCUAUUAAAAAUACAAAAAUUAGCCGGAUGUGGUGACACACACCUGUAGUCCCAGCUACUUGAGAGGCUGAGGCAAGAAUUACUUGAACAGGGAGACAGACAGAGGUUGCAGUGAGCCGAGAUUACACCACUGCACUCCAGCCUGGGUGACAGAGUGAGACUCUGUCUUUAAAAAAAAAAAAAAAAAAAAAAAAA
This 2309-nucleotide small RNA is filed under the name Pan troglodytes (chimpanzee). RNAcentral's name for it is "retained intron". Lineage: Eukaryota; Metazoa; Chordata; Mammalia; Primates; Hominidae. The record is from RNAcentral.